GGGGAUUUGGCUCAGUGGUAGAGCACUUGCCUAGCAAGCACAAAGCCCUGGGUUCGGUCCCCAGCUCCG
Molecule: transfer RNA, 69 nt
Filed under: Rattus norvegicus (Norway rat)
Lineage: Eukaryota; Metazoa; Chordata; Mammalia; Rodentia; Muridae
Rfam family: tRNA
About the family: Transfer RNA (tRNA) molecules are approximately 80 nucleotides in length. Their secondary structure includes four short double-helical elements and three loops (D, anti-codon, and T loops).
Source: Rfam by way of RNAcentral